Molecule: long non-coding RNA, 834 nt
Organism: Erinaceus europaeus (western European hedgehog)
Lineage: Eukaryota; Metazoa; Chordata; Mammalia; Eulipotyphla; Erinaceidae
Exons: 2
Source: RefSeq, a predicted model, not a curated record
GAAUGGCUGCCUUUUAGCUGGGUGUAGAUGGGGAAGGGUGAGUAGGCCAGGACCUGGAUCUUCUGGCAUUACUGUGACUUCUCCUGCUCACACUCUUCCCAACAUAGAGCCGUGGCUCCUCCUCCCAAGAGAAACCUCAGUUACUUUCCAGUUUAACAAAAAGUUGCAGAUGCUAUCAAGAUUCAUCCUAACUUCUCUGGGCAGACAACCUCACCAAUGUGCCCUGGAACCUCUCCUCUCCAGAGUCCUACCCAAUAAAGGAAAGAUAAAAACAGGCUGAGGGUAUGGGUCAACCUGCCAAAGACCAUGUCUGUUAGAGAAGCAAUUAUAGAAGCCAGAACUCCUACAUUCUGCAGCCUGAAAACCAAUUUUUAUUCAUACUCCAAGCUGGGGAAAAGUGAUAGGAAGAACAUUGGAAUUUCUGAAGUUUUGAGUAUGUUAAAUGUGUGUCUAUUACAAUGUUAAUGAAGGUAAACUGGAAAACAUCAAGGAUAAGGAGCUAGUUGCCAGGAAAACAGUGAACUUAGAGGAUAGGACUUUCAGUCCAGUCUCUAGGAAGGGGAAGAGGAUCUGGAGGCUAAGCCAAGCCCCUGUGCUCAAUGAGAAUCAAUCAUAUCAGAUAAACGAAGCCUCCACAAAAACCUGAAAGUUUGCAAGAGCUUCUGGAAAGACUCCAGGUUGGGAACACAUGGUAAUCUGGGGAAGACAGCGUCUGGGAGAGGGCAUGGAAGCUGGAUGCCUCUCCCCCACACAUUGUCCUAUGUACCUUUCACAUUUGGCUACUCCUGAGUUAUUUUACAGCCUUUGUUACCAAUCAAUGUUCUGAUGAGUAAA